GGACAGGAGAACAGGAACACAGAUGGGAACCAGGAUCUCAGGGACAGGUGCCAGGAACAGGAACCAGACCUCAGGAACUUCGGUGACAGGAUGUCUGAGAUGACCACUGCCAUCCAUGUCCAAGCUUCUCUGCUAAGAAGGACACCAACCAUAUUCCAAUGGGAGAGGCAAGCUUCACCAAAUCUCAGGGAGGUCACUGCAUUUGUCAAGGCUGGGCAAGGCCUCAAACUGAAGAUUUUAGGGAUGAAUUUGAAAGCAUUUCUGUCCCAUUGAAGUAGAAUAAAGUAAUGAGGUUGCUUGCUGGCCUUCUCUCCCUGUCAGAAGGAGAUUAAUAUAGAAGCUGCCUCCUCCAGUCUUACUAAUAAAUAUUCACUGAGCCAUUCUACAGAGAGAUUUGAUCCUGAUUCUGGAGACAUGCAUGCAGCCUCGCUGUGAACCACGGGGAUUCAGGUCAGCAAAAGUGCUUUUGCCUUUCUCCACAAAUCUGAGAAGCACAUGACAGGAGAAUUAAUCCUAAAAAGG
Long non-coding RNA from Trachemys scripta elegans, 522 nucleotides. RefSeq lists it as uncharacterized. The record is from RefSeq and is a predicted model, not a curated record. Lineage: Eukaryota; Metazoa; Chordata; Testudines; Emydidae. The transcript has 4 exons.